This 557-nucleotide ribosomal RNA is filed under the name uncultured bacterium. Its description in RNAcentral is "bacterial SSU rRNA". It matches the Rfam family "Bacterial small subunit ribosomal RNA", at positions 472 to 1028 of the family's 1533-position model. The record is from RNAcentral.
ACGGUACCUACAGAAGAAGCACCGGCUAACUACGUGCCAGCAGCCGCGGUAAUACGUAGGGUGCGAGCGUUGUCCGGAAUUAUUGGGCGUAAAGAGCUUGUAGGCGGUUUGUCGCGUCUGCCGUGAAAAUCCGAGGCUCAACCUCGGACUUGCGGUGGGUACGGGCAGACUAGAGUGUGGUAGGGGAGACUGGAAUUCCUGGUGUAGCGGUGAAAUGCGCAGAUAUCAGGAGGAACACCGAUGGCGAAGGCAGGUCUCUGGGCCACUACUGACGCUGAGAAGCGAAAGCGUGGGGAGCGAACAGGAUUAGAUACCCUGGUAGUCCACGCCGUAAACGUUGGGAACUAGGUGUGGGUCUCAUUCCACGAGAUCCGUGCCGCAGCUAACGCAUUAAGUUCCCCGCCUGGGGAGUACGGCCGCAAGGCUAAAACUCAAAGGAAUUGACGGGGGCCCGCACAAGCGGCGGAGCAUGUGGAUUAAUUCGAUGCAACGCGAAGAACCUUACCAAGGCUUGACAUAUACCGGGAAACACCCAGAGAUGGGUGCCCCGCAAGGUC